RNAcentral lists this ribosomal RNA (737 nucleotides) under Staphylococcus hyicus. RNAcentral's name for it is "bacterial SSU rRNA". It matches the Rfam family "Bacterial small subunit ribosomal RNA", at positions 62 to 780 of the family's 1533-position model. Lineage: Bacteria; Bacillati; Bacillota; Bacilli; Caryophanales; Staphylococcaceae. The record is from RNAcentral.
UCGAGCGAACAGAUGAGGAGCUUGCUCCUUUGACGUUAGCGGCGGACGGGUGAGUAACACGUGGGUAACCUACCUAUAAGACUGGAAUAACUCCGGGAAACCGGGGCUAAUGCCGGAUAACAUGUUGAACCGCAUGGUUCAGCAGUGAAAGACGGUCUUGCUGUCACUUAUACAUGGACCCGCGCCGUAUUAGCUAGUUGGUAGGGUAACGGCUUACCAAGGCGACGAUACGUAUCCGACCUGAAAGGGUGAUCGGCCACACUGGAACUGAGACACGGUCCAGACUCCUACGGGAGGCAGCAGUAGGGAAUCUUCCGCAAUGGGCGAAAGCCUGACGGAGCAACGCCGCGUGAGUGAUGAAGGUCUUCGGAUCGUAAAGCUCUGUUGUUAGGGAAGAACAUAUGUGUAAGUAACUGUGCACAUCUUGACGGUACCUAACCAGAAAGCCACGGCUAACUACGUGCCACCAGCCGCGGUAAUACGUAGGUGGCAAGCGUUAUCCGGAAUUAUUGGGCGUAAAGCGCGCGUAGGCGGUUUUUUAAGUCUGAUGUGAAAGCCCACGGCUCAACCGUGGAGGGUCAUUGGAAACUGGAAAACUUGAGUGCAGAAGAGGAAAGUGGAAUUCCAUGUGUAGCGGUGAAAUGCGCAGAGAUAUGGAGGAACACCAGUGCCGAACGCUGCUUUCUGAUCUGUAACUGACUCUGAGGUGCGAAAGCGUGAGGAUCAAAACAAGAUUA